RNAcentral lists this ribosomal RNA (245 nucleotides) under uncultured bacterium. Its description in RNAcentral is "partial 16S ribosomal RNA". It matches the Rfam family "Bacterial small subunit ribosomal RNA", at positions 524 to 779 of the family's 1533-position model. The record is from RNAcentral.
UACGGAGGGUGCGAGCGUUGUCCGGAAUCACUGGGCGUAAAGGGCGCGUAGGUGGCGCUGCAAGUCAACGGUGAAAGCUCGAACGCUUAACGUCGAGUCGGCCGUCGAAAACUGCAGCGCUCGAGCACUGUAGAGGCUCAUGGAAUUCCGGGUGUAGCGGUGGAAAUUGCGUAGAGGAUCCGGAAAGAACACCGGUGGCGAAGGACGGUCGGAGCAUGGGACCAGGUUGCUAGGCGAACUGGAUG